UACGGAGGGGGCGAGCGUUAUUCGGAAUUAUUGGGCGUAAAGGGCGCGUAGGCGGCUUGAUGUGUCAAAGGUGAAAUCCCUCGGCUCAACUGAGGAACUGCCUUUGAAACUGUCUGGCUUGAGGCCGGGAGAGGGUAGCGGAAUUCCCAGUGUAGCGGUGAAAUGCGUAGAUACUGGGAGGAACACCGGUGGCGAAGGCGGCUACCUGGACAGUAACUGACGCUGAGGCGCGAAAGCUAGGGGAGCAAACAGG
Molecule: ribosomal RNA, 253 nt
Filed under: uncultured bacterium
Lineage: Bacteria
Description: partial 16S ribosomal RNA
Rfam family: Bacterial small subunit ribosomal RNA
Source: RNAcentral